GCGGAAGUGGCGGAAUGGUAUACGCGUACGUCUCAGAAGCGUAUGGGGAAACCCGUGAGAGUUCAAGUCUCUCCUUCCGCA
This 81-nucleotide transfer RNA is filed under the name Omnitrophica WOR_2 bacterium RIFCSPHIGHO2_01_FULL_48_9. Its description in RNAcentral is "tRNA-Leu". It matches the Rfam family "tRNA". Rfam says of the family: Transfer RNA (tRNA) molecules are approximately 80 nucleotides in length. Their secondary structure includes four short double-helical elements and three loops (D, anti-codon, and T loops). The record is from RNAcentral. Lineage: Bacteria; Pseudomonadati; Candidatus Omnitrophota. RNAcentral also lists the same sequence under 1 other name.